RNAcentral lists this transfer RNA (68 nucleotides) under Pselaphinae sp. 9 EF-2015. Its description in RNAcentral is "tRNA-Asp". Lineage: Eukaryota; Metazoa; Arthropoda; Insecta; Coleoptera; Staphylinidae. The record is from RNAcentral.
AAAAAUUUAGUUAAAAAAUAACAUUAGUUUGUCAAACUAAAAUUAUUAUUAUUAAAUAAUAAUUUUUA